Molecule: ribosomal RNA, 429 nt
Filed under: Chloroflexota bacterium
Lineage: Bacteria; Bacillati; Chloroflexota
Description: Chloroflexi bacterium partial 16S ribosomal RNA
Rfam family: Bacterial small subunit ribosomal RNA
Source: RNAcentral
UGGGGAAUAUUGCACAAUGGGCGCAAGCCUGAUGCCGCAAUGCCGCGUUUGUGAAGAAGGCCUUGGGGUUGUAAAGCACUUUCAGCGGGGAGGAAGGCGUUAAGGUUAAUAACCUUGGCGAUUGACGUUACCCGCAGAAGAAGCACCGGCUAACUCCGUGCCAGCAGCCGCGGUAAUACGGAGGGUGCAAGCGUUAAUCGGAAUUACUGGGCGUAAAGCGCACGCAGGCGGUCUGUCAAGUCGGAUGUGAAAUCCCCGGGCUCAACCUGGGAACUGCAUUCGAAACUGGCAGGCUAGAGUCUUGUAGAGGGGGGUAGAAUUCCAGGUGUAGCGGUGAAAUGCGUAGAGAUCUGGAGGAAUACCGGUGGCGAAGGCGGCCCCCUGGACAAAGACUGACGCUCAGGUGCGAAAGCGUGGGGAGCAAACAGG